AUUAAACAAGAUUAUAACGGAUGAGGUUAUGGAGGUGAAAGAUUACAAAUAUUUUCACAUGAAUGUUAUAUGCUUUGAACAUCUUUACAACACAACGGUGAAAAAAUAAAUGAAACGUUGUGUUGCACUGAUGAUCAAUGUUUUUUCAACGAUGAACAUGUCGCUAACACUCCUUUGUUUUAACAUCUCAUGCAAUGAAGAAGAAUGACGGAAGUAAAAGACAAUGAGGCAAUGUGAACUAUAAGAGAUCCUAGUUAAUGGCAUGAUAUUGAGGUACUGGAAUUCUUA
This 288-nucleotide unclassified non-coding RNA is filed under the name Hevea brasiliensis (rubber tree). The record is from RNAcentral. Lineage: Eukaryota; Viridiplantae; Streptophyta; Magnoliopsida; Malpighiales; Euphorbiaceae.